CAGGCCUAACACAUGCAAGUCGAACGGUAGCACAGGAGAGCUUGCUCUCUGGGUGACGAGUGGCGGACGGGUGAGUAAUGCAUGGGGAGCUGCCCAAUCGAGGGGGACAACAUUCCGAAAGGAAUGCUAAUACCGCAUACGCCCUACGGGGGAAAGCAGGGGAUCUUCGGACCUUGCGCUAAUAGAUGAGCCUAAGUCAGAUUAGCUAGUUGGUGGGGUAAAGGCCUACCAAGGCGACGAUCUGUAGCGGGUCUGAGAGGAUGAUCCGCCACACUGGGACUGAGACACGGUCCAGACUCCUACGGGAGGCAGCAGUGGGGAAUAUUGCACAAUGGGGGAAACCCUGAUGCAGCCAUGCCGCGUGUGUGAAGAAGGCCUUCGGGUUGUAAAGCACUUUCAGCGAGGAGGAAAGGUUGGUAGCGAAUAACUGCCAGCUGUGACGUUACUCGCAGAAGAAGCACCGGCUAACUCCGUG
Molecule: ribosomal RNA, 475 nt
Filed under: uncultured bacterium
Lineage: Bacteria
Description: bacterial SSU rRNA
Rfam family: Bacterial small subunit ribosomal RNA
Source: RNAcentral